GGGGUUGAUGACACUUUUCUCAAAAUUGAACACCAACCAAUCAAACUUUUGGCUAAGAUUUUCGUACGCCAAAACCCAAAGCAAUGCACCAAACUAACACAAACACCACAACCUUAGCCGUCAGCCCCACAAAAUGAACAGCACACACCAAAUUUUCAGGCCACUAAUUCCUGCCGCCUGUGUCAGUUUCCGGCGGCUGAGCACCUCUAAGCUACUGCCCAGCCCACGUCCCAAAGCUUUGAAACACAGACACUUGUCUCUUCAAACAACCCAAAACUCCAAGUGGGCUGUCAGGCUAAGCUUACUGGACCAAAGCCCGCCAAAAUCUAAACCAAAGGUUGACGUGGAUCGGUUAGUGGAUUUUUUGUACGAGGAUCUUGUCCAUCUCUUUGAUGAUCAGGGAAUUGAUCGGACAGCUUACGAUGAGCGUGUGAAGUUCAGGGACCCAAUUACGAAGCAUGACACGAUAACUGGGUACUUGUUGAACAUCUCCUUCUUGAAGAUUGUGUUCACGCCUAAGUUCCAGUUGCAUUGGGUCAAACAGACAGGACCAUAUGAAAUCACCACAAGGUGGACUAUGGUUAUGAAGUUCAUCCCUUUGCCUUGGAAACCAGAAUUGGUCUUCACAGGAACCUCAGUUAUGGGCAUCAACCCGGAGACCGGGAAGUUCUGCAGCCAUGUGGACUUCUGGGAUUCGAUAAAGACGAAUGACUAUUUUUCAGUAGAAGGUCUGUUGGACGUUUUCAAGCAGCUGCGGUUUUACAAAACUCCAGACUUGGAAACACCCAAAUAUGAGAUAUUAAAACGAACGGCGAAUUACGAGGUGAGAAAGUACUCCCCUUUUAUAGUGGUAGAAGGAUCUGUGGACAAGCUGUCUGGGUCGGCCGGUUUCAAUGAUGUUACUGGGUACAUCUUUGGGAAGAACUCCAAAAUGGAGAAGAUACCAAUGACUACCCCUGUCUUCACUGAGGCAUCUGAUGCUGAAUUUUCCAAAGUAUCCAUCAAAAUAUGUCUUCCACUGGAGAAGGAUAUAAGCAGUUUACCAGAUCCCAAUCAAGAAACAAUUAGGUUAAAAAAGGUGGAAGGAGGCACUGCUGCAGUUCUGAAGUUCAGUGGAAAGCCUACUGAAGAGAUUGUUCGCGAGAAGGAGAAAGAGUUGCGGUCUAGUCUUAUUAGAGAUGGUCUCAAACUUAAGAAUGGUUGCUUGCUUGCUCGUUACAAUGAUCCAGGCCGAACUAAGAGCUUUGUAAUGAGGAAUGAAGUACUGAUAUGGCUGGAGGAGUUUACAUUGGACUAGCAUGUUGAGCAUGGCCGUUCUUCUUCGUUCUAACUCUUCCUGUUGAUCAUUUUUCUCCACAACUUACGGUGAUUAUUAUUGAAGUUGAAUCAAUGCAAUGCAACGCCCUGCUCGCUGGGUAGCUUUGCUCAUGGAUGGAAUGGAAGAACAGCUUGGCACGUGGACCCCUGACAGACAGACAACAUAUGUUCGAGAAAGAGACAAGACAGAAAAGUUAAUAUCCAUGUGAACAACUCAUCAACCUCAUGGAAAUGGUCCCUCAAAAUCAUAAUCAAUUAUGAACCGUCCCGUAUACAUAAAUUACAUAAUGUAGCUAACAUAUACUCGAACCAAAUUUAAUAUCAUUCACUCACUCAGGCUUUGUACAUUCCGCCUCAUGACUGCAGUCUGCGGUGCAAUGUGCCUCUCAAUUUUAAUGUAUUUUACCACUACUUAGUUUAAUUGUGAUCUCUAAUGAGGGAUUUGUGAUCUAAUUGAGAACAGUUUUAGAACAUCUUUACUCCGAUCAUAAUGCCGCAAUUUUC
RNA transcript from Prunus persica (peach), 1821 nucleotides. It is a transcript of the gene named heme-binding-like protein At3g10130, chloroplastic, with no coding region annotated. The transcript is spliced from 9 exons. The record is from RefSeq and is a predicted model, not a curated record. Lineage: Eukaryota; Viridiplantae; Streptophyta; Magnoliopsida; Rosales; Rosaceae.